Molecule: unclassified non-coding RNA, 403 nt
Filed under: soil metagenome
Description: partial contains 5.8S ribosomal RNA, internal transcribed spacer 2, and large subunit ribosomal RNA
Rfam family: 5.8S ribosomal RNA (bases 1-121)
Source: RNAcentral
GAUGAAGAACGCAGCGAAAUGCGAUAAGUAAUGUGAAUUGCAGAAUUCAGUGAAUCAUCGAAUCUUUGAACGCACCUUGCGCCCUUUGGCCAUUCCGAAGGGCAUGCCUGUUUGAGUAUCAUGAACACCUCAACUCUCAUGGUUUGCCAUGACGAGCUUGGACUUUGGGGGUCUUGCUGGCCUUUUGGUCAGCUCCUCUCAAAUGAAUUAGCUUUCCAGUGUCUGGUGGCAUCACGAGUGUGAUAAAUAUCUACGCUUGUGGUUUCCUGCCAGGUAACCUUCAGUGAUGGAGGUUCACUGGGGCUCAUAAAUGUCUCUCCUCAGCGAAGACAGCUUUGUGAACGUUUGAUCUCAAAUCAGGUAGGACUACCCGCUGAACUUAAGCAUAUCAAUAAGCGGAGGA